GAAGAUGUGGCUCAAUGGGUAGAGCACUUGCCUAGCAUGCAGGAAGCCCUGGGUUCAAACCCCAGCACUGCCU
This 73-nucleotide transfer RNA is filed under the name Neotoma lepida (desert woodrat). It matches the Rfam family "tRNA". From Rfam's summary of the family: Transfer RNA (tRNA) molecules are approximately 80 nucleotides in length. Their secondary structure includes four short double-helical elements and three loops (D, anti-codon, and T loops). Further hydrogen bonds mediate the characteristic L-shaped molecular structure. tRNAs have two regions of fundamental functional importance: the anti-codon, which is responsible for specific mRNA codon recognition, and the 3' end, to which the tRNAs corresponding amino acid is attached (by aminoacyl-tRNA synthetases). tRNAs cope with the degeneracy of the genetic code in two manners: having more than one tRNA (with a specific anti-codon) for a particular amino acid; and 'wobble' base-pairing, i.e. permitting non-standard base-pairing at the 3rd anti-codon position. Lineage: Eukaryota; Metazoa; Chordata; Mammalia; Rodentia; Cricetidae. The record is from Rfam by way of RNAcentral.